GGUGGUUCUCGGGGGAUGCACCUUGGAAUUGGGCUCCCUCCUCUCUGGUUUUGGGUGUGUCACCCAAGAACCACC
Molecule: non-coding RNA, 75 nt
Organism: Myotis brandtii (Brandt's bat)
Lineage: Eukaryota; Metazoa; Chordata; Mammalia; Chiroptera; Vespertilionidae
Source: Rfam